GUGGGCGUUGUGGAAUUGGUAGACACGUUAGACAUAGGAUCUAGUGCCGUGAGGUGUGAGAGUUCAAGUUUCUCCGCCCGUA
Molecule: transfer RNA, 82 nt
Filed under: Maribacter luteus
Lineage: Bacteria; Pseudomonadati; Bacteroidota; Flavobacteriia; Flavobacteriales; Flavobacteriaceae
Description: Maribacter sp. RZ05 tRNA-Leu
Source: RNAcentral